RNAcentral lists this unclassified non-coding RNA (498 nucleotides) under Hevea brasiliensis (rubber tree). Lineage: Eukaryota; Viridiplantae; Streptophyta; Magnoliopsida; Malpighiales; Euphorbiaceae. The record is from RNAcentral.
GCAUCAAAUUUGGUAUCAGAGCUUUGGCUCCAAAUCAGGUUCUAUCUAUCCUUUUGUGUUUUCUUUUUUGUUCUUUGUUUAUCGUACUAUUUCAUUUCAUAACUUAUUCAUCAAUUUCCUUGUUUUUUUAUAUUUUGCAUUUUCUUCAAUAAUACUUAGUCUGAAAAAAAUUUUUCCUUCCUUUACUUAGUGUCUUGUUUAAAAAAAAAAUUGAAUUGCUGCUACUUUUAAAAAAAAUGCAGAUAUUUUUUCUUGCAGAAUUUCAGAUCUGAAACGAGUAAAAAAAAAGAACUGCAGAAUUUCAAGUCUGCUACUAAUCAAUAAUAAUAAUAAUAAUAAAUUAAAUUACGCUUAUAAUUAAAAACAAAAAAAAGAAAAUAUUUUUUCUUUCUUUUCUGCUCUGUUUCGAUUUCAAUUUUACAUAUUUUAUUAGGUUUUGCUGCUGUUCGAACCGAUAUUUGGAGGAAGAAGAAGAAAAGAUUGAGGAGAGGAGACCGU